GGAAGCUUUUCCCCUUAGCAGCUCCACAGCCCUGUUCAGGGCUCUGCAGGCCAGCCCGGGAGUCCCACAGAGGAAGCAGGAGGCAGUCAAGGCAAGUCUGUGAAGCUGCCUGACUACAAGCAGAAGGCAGCACCUGACAUCCACCCCUCCUCCUCCUGGGAGCUAUGAUCAUCCGCCUCAGGCACUUAACCCCGGGAUACUUCCGCUUGCUCCAGAUGCAGCUGGCCGGGGGGCUGGAGUCCGAACCUAAAGACCGUCUGGUGAAUCACUUGGCUCUAGUCCUGGCUAUCAUGGGGCUAAGUCUGUCCUACUACAGCGUCCGCCAAAUGACCGAGCCGGUUAAAACCCCACCAGAACAGUGAGGCUCAUCCAUGUGGAUGGAGUGCUCUAGAUCUAAGGAGAUUCCAGCAGCUCUGAGGUGGUGGUGGGGACUAGGUCUUGGGUCUGGCAUUCACUCUGUGACAUCAUGCUCCAGUCCUGCUCUCAUACUAGGGUCAGCUACAUCCUCCUCCCUCGGUCUGUAGUGGAAGGUUAGUCGCAGGCUUCCCUCGCACUGCUCUCCUGGACCCAGGCUAAAAGAGUAGCUAGAAGCAUCUCCCAACUUGCUUUGUGCUGGCUUGAAAGGGAUCGCUCGGUACAUGCUCUCUGGGCCAUCCCGCUUUUCCUAGCCUCUCACUGUUGUUGCUGUCCAGGGUCCUUGAGUAAGUGAAGCAAACACACCUGUCACACCCCUUCCAGAGUUUCUCAUGGAGUUACACCAGUUUGGGCCAAUGGAUUUCACUGCGAAGUCCUACCCCAUCCACUGACCACCCCAGCACCUGUCCAUGCUCUGUCCUUCCACUACAUGCAACUAAGCUACUAAAUGAAAGGCUAGACCAUCUCCCUGAAGCUCUACCAGAGCUCAUGACAGAAGGCUGGGGAACCUACUUCCAUAUGGGAGGCCAGAUUCUAAGCUUCAGUGGGAGGUCUCCCACUUUAUACAGAAGUGAGAUCCGACUCGGGCCCUGUGGGAGACAGAAGACAAGACUCAUUCCCACAGGUUGGACAGAUAUAUAUAAAGUACGAUCUGCAGGAACUGAGGCUGAAAGGGUAGAAGGCAUCCUCCCAGGCCAGGGGUAGAAUCCACCUUGGCAGCUUACCAGUCACCCUGGCUUAUGAGACUUCCAGCAAGAGGUUUCCAGACAGCAACUUCCACCUCACUGGCUGCACUUGUGUGUCCCUCUCUAAACCAGUGGGAUGGUAUGACAGGCGGAAUGCGCUGCAUUGACAGCAAGAGAGAAUUUUACACAUGGUUGACUGAGCCCUUUUAUCAUCUCCUCCCCCCGCCCAGCUCAGCCAGGAGCAGUGCAUCAUAGGAUAGCAAAACAAGCUGGAACAAGGUCAUUGCCGAUUGCUGUUAUAUAACAGCGCACACAAUGAGAUGGCUGGGACCUAAAUCAUGCUGUUAAACUACAGAUUAUAAAGGGGGAUUUUCAAGAAGUCCAGACUGGCCGACAUGGACUACUUAAUUGCAGCAAUUGCGUGAGGACACUUUCAUGGAGCAAUUAGUACAUGUCUCUUCCCCCCCCCGCACCAGGGACAGGUACACUUCACCUUCUCAGACAGCAUCAGGCUAAUCUUCACACCCAUCACCUCUCUGAAAACUUCUACCGCUGUGGCCCGCCUGCUAGGUUUAAGCUGCUAACAGGGAAGUCUAGAUGUUAAUACAAGACAUUUCUAAAUUUUGAUCAUCUAUCUCACCCUCCCUUAUACCUGGGGAGGGGAGAACUGAGGAAAUAAUUUGGUGUAUGUUAAAUAAAUCCCUUUAU
Molecule: long non-coding RNA, 1808 nt
Organism: Trachemys scripta elegans
Lineage: Eukaryota; Metazoa; Chordata; Testudines; Emydidae
Exons: 3
Source: RefSeq, a predicted model, not a curated record